AGCUACACAUGCAGUCGAGCGGUAGCACAGAGAGCUUGCUCUCGGGUGACGAGCGGCGGACGGGUGAGUAAUGUCUGGGAAACUGCCUGAUGGAGGGGGAUAACUACUGGAAACGGUAGCUAAUACCGCAUAAUGUCGCAAGACCAAAGUGGGGGACCUUCGGGCCUCAUGCCAUCAGAUGUGCCCAGAUGGGAUUAGCUAGUAGGUGGGGUAACGGCUCACCUAGGCGACGAUCCCUAGCUGGUCUGAGAGGAUGACCAGCCACACUGGAACUGAGACACGGUCCAGACUCCUACGGGAGGCAGCAGUGGGGAAUAUUGCACAAUGGGCGCAAGCCUGAUGCAGCCAUGCCGCGUGUGUGAAGAAGGCCUUCGGGUUGUAAAGCACUUUCAGCGGGGAGGAAGGCGGUGAGGUUAAUAACCUUGUCGAUUGACGUUACCCGCAGAAGAAGCACCGGCUAACUCCGUGCCAGCAGCCGCGGUAAUACGGAGGGUGCAAGCGUUAAUCGGAAUUACUGGGCGUAAAGCGCACGCAGGCGGUCUGUCAAGUCGGAUGUGAAAUCCCCGGGCUCAACCUGGGAACUGCAUUCGAAACUGGCAGGCUAGAGUCUUGUAGAGGGGGGUAGAAUUCCAGGUGUAGCGGUGAAAUGCGUAGAGAUCUGGAGGAAUACCGGUGGCGAAGGCGGCCCCCUGGACAAAGACUGACGCUCAGGUGCGAAAGCGUGGGGAGCAAACAGGAUUAGAUACCCUGGUAGUCCACGCCGUAAACGAUGUCGAUUUGGAGGUUGUGCCCUUGAGGCGUGGCUUCCGGAGCUAACGCGUUAAAUCGACCGCCUGGGGAGUACGGCCGCAAGGUUAAAACUCAAAUGAAUUGACGGGGGCCCGCACAAGCGGUGGAGCAUGUGGUUUAAUUCGAUGCAACGCGAAGAACCUUACCUGGUCUUGACAUCCACAGAACUUUCCAGAGAUGGAUUGGUGCCUUCGGGAACUGUGAGACAGGUGCUGCAUGGCUGUCGUCAGCUCGUGUUGUGAAAUGUUGGGUUAAGUCCCGCAACGAGCGCAACCCUUAUCCUUUGUUGCCAGCGGUUCGGCCGGGAACUCAAAGGAGACUGCCAGUGAUAAACUGGAGGAAGGUGGGGAUGACGUCAAGUCAUCAUGGCCCUUACGACCAGGGCUACACACGUGCUACAAUGGCAUAUACAAAGAGAAGCGACCUCGCGAGAGCAAGCGGACCUCAUAAAGUAUGUCGUAGUCCGGAUUGGAGUCUGCAACUCGACUCCAUGAAGUCGGAAUCGCUAGUAAUCGUAGAUCAGAAUGCUACGGUGAAUACGUUCCCGGGCCUUGUACACACCGCCCGUCACACCAUGGGAGUGGGUUGCAAAAGAAGUAGGUAGCUUAACCUUCGGGAGGGCGCUACCAC
Molecule: ribosomal RNA, 1419 nt
Filed under: Klebsiella sp. NCCP-139
Lineage: Bacteria; Pseudomonadati; Pseudomonadota; Gammaproteobacteria; Enterobacterales; Enterobacteriaceae
Description: bacterial SSU rRNA
Rfam family: Bacterial small subunit ribosomal RNA
Source: RNAcentral